RNAcentral lists this ribosomal RNA (252 nucleotides) under uncultured bacterium. Its description in RNAcentral is "partial 16S ribosomal RNA". It matches the Rfam family "Bacterial small subunit ribosomal RNA", at positions 524 to 776 of the family's 1533-position model. The record is from RNAcentral.
UACGUAGGUGGCUAGCGUUAUCCGGAAUUACUGGGCGUAAAGGGUGCGUAGGUGGUUUCUUAAGUCAGAGGUGAAAGGCUACGGCUCAACCGUAGUAAGCCUUUGAAACUGGGGAACUUGAGUGCAGGAGAGGAGAGUGGAAUCCCUAGUGUAGCGGUGAAAUGCGUAGAUAUUAGGAGGAACACCAGCUGCGAAGGCGGCUCUCUGGACUGUAACUGACACUGAGGCACGAAAGCGUGGGGAGCAAACAGG